ACCCUACUAUGCCUAGCCGUAACACACAAUUAAACUACGAAUUGUUCGCCAAACAACUACGAGCCAUACUUGAAACUUAAAAGACUUGACGGUACUUCAUCACGACCUAGAGGAGCCUGUCUAAUAACCGACAAUCCACGAUUAACCCAGCCCCUUCUUGCCAACAGUCUAUAUACCACCGUCGCCAGCUUACCUUGUAAAAGAAAUAAAGUGAGCUAGAUAGUACAACACUAAAACGACAGGUCGAGGUGUAACUUAUGAAGGGGACCAAGAUGGGCUACAUUCUCCAACCGAGAAUACGAAUAACACUAUGAAACUAAUGUUUGAAGGCGGAUUUAGCAGUAAGAUAAGAAUAAAACACUUAACUGAACACAACGCAAUGAAGUGCGUACACACCGCCCGUCAUCCCUGCACCACAAUAUAAACCUUAAUAAACUAACCUAGAAAAAUCAAACA
RNAcentral lists this ribosomal RNA (456 nucleotides) under Gloydius halys (Halys viper). RNAcentral's name for it is "partial 12S ribosomal RNA". The record is from RNAcentral. Lineage: Eukaryota; Metazoa; Chordata; Lepidosauria; Squamata; Viperidae.